This 851-nucleotide long non-coding RNA is filed under the name Equus caballus (horse). RNAcentral describes it as "lncRNA (ENSECAG00000047609.1)". Lineage: Eukaryota; Metazoa; Chordata; Mammalia; Perissodactyla; Equidae. The record is from RNAcentral.
GUUGCACUGGAUCCAUUCCCAGACUUUAUGAGUCAUGUGGGGCAGCGGGGGCUGCUGGUAAACAUGCAGGUUCCUGAGCCCCACGCCCAAAGACUUUGAUGCUGGGAACCUUCACGUUUAACAAGCCCAGCUGCAGUUGCUGAAGUGCUCAUGCUGAGAAAACAGGACCCGAUGGCCUCACAGAGGAUGUGGCUCCGACCCCCAAGACCGAGACUCUGGAACUGAGAGGCAUACCAGUACUCCUCAUCUCUUAGGACAAACCUGUGUCUGACCACAACCAUUCCAUUGUCAGCAAGCAGUUAUCAAGCACCUGUUAUGGGUACUGAGCUGCAGGGGUGAUACCAAAAAGGCACGAUCCUGGGCCUCAGUCUAACUAAGGAGAUGACACAGCCAGAUGAAUGCGAGACAACCCACAGGUUUGGCUUGGAGAGAGAGGCAGGGGCUAAACUAUGUCGAGCCCUGUCGCCAUGAUGAGGAAUUUGGCAACAGAAGCAGGGGAGUGACACGAUCCUAGAACGGAAGCAGGAGACCAUGAAGAAUGAACUUUCUAACAGCAGUGUACUUUGCAGCAAUGACAUGCAUGGCCUUGGGCAGCAGGGAGCGCCCAGACACAGGAGCGGGGGUGGGGAACCCCUCAGGGAUGCUGUAGAGUGAAGUCGGACUCCAGGACGGAUGUGAAGCACGAUGACCUCUAAGAGCCCUCCUCCCUCUGACACUCCUGCUGGUCAGCCUCGUCCCCUCCAGCCCUGCACCCUGUGUCUCCAGUCAGGAUCCCUCCCGCGCCUGCCAGGUGGUGGCGCCAAACUGUUUCCCUACUCUGAACCUUCUCUCCACACCUACCCUACUCCCCU